RNAcentral lists this ribosomal RNA (342 nucleotides) under Triticum aestivum (bread wheat). RNAcentral describes it as "partial small subunit ribosomal RNA". The record is from RNAcentral. Lineage: Eukaryota; Viridiplantae; Streptophyta; Magnoliopsida; Poales; Poaceae.
AUGAGCUGGUUUAUCUUGGGCGUUGUUCUUUUUGCCGGAGGCGUGCCGGCGGUGGCGGAGUUCGCCGGCAGCUGCGCGAUGCUCCGGGGCGUGUGUCGGCCUAUGGAGGUGCGCGGCGUGGCGAGGAGGCCGCGGUGGCUGCGGCGGCACGAUGAAGAGGCCGCGGAGGACCUGCAUGGUGGCGGCUUCAACGACGACGACGGCGCGGCGAGCGCGUCGUGGCGGCUCAGCGCGACAACGGUGGAGGCGCGUGGCACAGAGCCGCGGCGCUCGUGUCGGAUGUGUCAAGUGUGUGUAUGGGCGCGCACCGGGCGUGUCAGACGCGGCGGGACCGUGGUGUAG